RNAcentral lists this long non-coding RNA (242 nucleotides) under Lathyrus oleraceus (garden pea). RNAcentral's name for it is "Pisum sativum (pea) long non-coding RNA (PSAT_LNC009332)". Lineage: Eukaryota; Viridiplantae; Streptophyta; Magnoliopsida; Fabales; Fabaceae. The record is from RNAcentral.
AACUGUGUUGAAAAGCUAAGUUUGGGGUAAAAACCCCAAAAGCUCUCAAAGCCCUAGAAAGUGCAAAACCAAAAGAAAAAGAAAAAUUGAUGAAUCGAGAAAGAGAAAGAAAAAUAAAAAUCAAAUACUCGAUGAAUCAAAAGAAAGAAGCACGGAAAAGGGCAGUCGGUAAAAAUUCAAGAAAUAAGAAAAGAAAACCGAGGAAAUAAAAGAAACAAACACAGAAUAUAACAUCGACUCUG